GGACACAUUUAAUUGAGCCCGUCAAAUUAAGUGCCAGCUGACGCGGUUAAACUUAAGGGCUGGUCUUUAUAAGUAAAAAGGCGUAGAGGAUGUGUAGGCCAAGAAAUUAUCUAAGAAGGUAAAUGGAAUUUUUCUGGAGCGGUAAAAUGUGAAGAUAGAAAAUAGAACACCUAAGGUUAAAACUAUUUACCACAAAAUAGGCUGAAACAUGAGAGAGUGGGGAGCAAACAGGAUUAGAGACCCUGGUAGUCCACUCUGUAAACUUUGAAGAUUAUGUUUAGCAGGCCCGAAAGGUAAAAUCUUCCGCCUGAGUAGUACGAUCGCAAGAUUAAAAUUCAAAAACUUUGGCUGUUCACUACUUCGAUUAGAGGAGCGUGUAGUUUAAUUCGAUGGUCCGCGUGUUACCUUACCCCAGCUUGAAUCUAUGACCGGUAUUGCAUGGCCGUCGUAAGUCCCUGUGUUAAACUAAAAGGGACCCAAUCCGGGCGUUUGCCUGAAGGAAGUCAGGUCUUAUGAUCCGAAUGUUGGGGGAUUUAUGCGCUACAUUUUCUUAUAUAAUGAGAGACUUGAGAGGUAAGCCUCU
RNAcentral lists this ribosomal RNA (583 nucleotides) under Exaiptasia diaphana. RNAcentral's name for it is "partial 12S ribosomal RNA". It matches the Rfam family "Bacterial small subunit ribosomal RNA", at positions 475 to 1276 of the family's 1533-position model. The record is from RNAcentral. Lineage: Eukaryota; Metazoa; Cnidaria; Anthozoa; Actiniaria; Aiptasiidae.